Rattus norvegicus (Norway rat) is the source of this 2398-nucleotide non-coding RNA. The record is from RefSeq and is a predicted model, not a curated record. Lineage: Eukaryota; Metazoa; Chordata; Mammalia; Rodentia; Muridae.
GGUUAAUAUGCUAAUGCAGGGCAGUACCAUGCUAGUGAGGUGAUUCGUUCUCUGCCAAUCCCUGGAGGACAAGUAGUGGGGUGACAGUGGGGUAAUAGUGGGGUGCCCCGUGCCCCGCCAAUCCCUGAAGGAUUAUUAGCAUACUGUUGUGUAUAUAAGGCGAGCGACUUUACCGCUCGUAGUCCCCGUAUCAGUAAUGAAGGUGUCCUGCAAUAAAGGCUGUUGACAAGGAUCCGAUGGUGUUGCAUCUUCCUUGCCGGCCAAGGACAAUUCUCCUGGUUGCCACAUUUGAAGAGAAACAAUAAUUCAUCAAAGUAACUUCUGGAAAGAAUGCCAAGUAGCAUCGUGCAAUCCAGCGCAGUAUUCUUUGAAGGAUUAUCCAACCUGAUCCUUUCUAAUUUACAUUAAACUGAAACUGUUGAUAUAAAUAAUCGUGAGCACAGAUCUUUAAAAAGCAAUGUCAUCAGAACUGCGCUUUGAUUUACAUUCAUCCAGUAACUGACAGACAACAAAUAUCACUGGAACAGAAGAGAGAGAAACCAAGAAUCAUAAGCCCCUUUUCCAGCAUAUUCUAGUUAGCUUCUCGGUGAACUAGUUUCAGAAGUAACCAGCCCUGGAACCAGCCUUGACAAUUCAGAAAAUGAUCAUUUUGAAUUAUUCAUGGCACAGUCACCCUUGACAUUCUGAACACUGUAUUUGAGAAUAGGAGAACGGAACAAGAGAUGGUAAUGGUCAUUAUUAUGAGAGUUUCAAAUAAAAAAGAAAAAAUGAGACAGGACCUUUGGGUGAAGGGAAGAAGGAAUUGUAGCAAGUUACCAACAACUCAGCAAGUUACUGAGGACAUCUGGACUGAGCAGUGUCCACAGCUCUUACUGGAUUGUGUCAUAUAUAAUUUUAAUGACUGUGGCUUACAUUAAGCACCUACAUGAUCUCUUGUUACAGCUGCUACGGAUAUCAUCCAUCGUGAUUCCUGCUAUAGCAACCAUGACCAUUGAAAAGCUGUCUGUGCACAUUAGAGAUAAUUGAAAGUUUCUCCGACAGUGGCACUUUGACGCUGGGUGUCCUUCUUAAUUUUAAUUAUUGAAUAUCCUUUUUAAGAGUCUGGAAGUCAAUCCAUUCAUCAUUUCUCAGGUGCCUGAAUCGUAUACCUUUAAGAAAUAAAGGAAAUGAGCUUUAGUUUGACAUUACAUAGUAGAGAUGUCAGUGGAGACAUCUUACUCUGAAUUGAAUGUAAAGAUUGCAUGCCUAAAUUCUAUUUUGAUUUUCUUCCUCCCAUUGUCAAUUUUCAUAUAGACAGAGUUAGACUGUGGGAAGCUUUCGAAGUAGAAUUAAAAUUGUUUAAGUUAAUCUGAUUUCUAUUGAUUAUUUAUUUAUAUUUUAAGUGUUAUUCCUCUUCCAGGUUUCCUCUCUGUAAACCCUCUAUCCUAUAACCCCUCCCCCUGCAUCUAUGCGGAUCCUUUGGUACCCACUUACCCACACACUCCCGUUUCAUGGCCCUUAGCAUCUCCCUGUGCUGUGUCAUCAAGCCUCCACAGAACCAACAGCCUCCCCUCCCAUUGAUGUCAGAAAAGGCAUCAUCUGCUUCAUCUAAGGCUGGAGGCAUAGGUAGGUCUCUUUGUAUGUAGACUUUGGUUGGUGGUUUAGUCCCUGGGAGGACUAGGAGUUCUGGGAGGUCUGGGAGAUCUGGCUGAUUGAUAUUGUUGUUCUUCCUAUGAGGCUGUGAAUCUCUUCAGCUCCUGCAGUCCUUCUCCUAAGUCUUCCAUUAGGGUCCCCAUGCUCGGUCUGAUGGUUGGCUUCAAGUACCUGAAUCUGCAUUUAUCAGGCUCUGGCAAAGCCUCUCGGGACACAGCUAUACCAGGCUCAUGUCAGCAAGUGUUUCUUGGUAUCAGCAAUCUUGUCUAGGUUUGGUGUCUGCAGAUGGGAUGGAUCCCUAGGUGGGGCAUUCUCUGGAUGGCCUUUCAUUAAGCCUCAUCUCCAAGUUAUACCACUUCUGAGCAUUUACCCAAAAGAUGUUCUACAUAUAACCAGGACACAUGCUCCACUGUGUUCAUAGACUUAUUUAUAAUAGGCAGAAGCUGAAAAGAACUCUGAUAUCCCUCUACAGAGGAAUAGAUGAAGUGCGGUACAUUUAUACAAUGGAUUACUACUCAGCUAUUAAAAAUCAAUGACAUCAUGAAAUUCACAGGCAAAUGGGUGGAACUAGAAAAUAUCCUGAGUGAGAUAACAUAGUCACAAAUGAACAAACAUGGUAUGUACUCACUGAAAAGUGGACAUUAGGCAAAAUGCUCAGAAUACUCUUCAUACAACUUAUAGACCAUAUGAAGCUCAAGAAGAAGGAAGACCAAAGUGUGGAUGUUUCAGUCCUACUUAGAAGGGGAACAAAAUAAUCACGUAGGUA